UAUGUGAUCGUCUCUCGCAUAUCAAUAAGCGGAGGAAAAGAAACUAACAAGGAUUCCCCUAGUAACGGCGAGUGAAGUGGGAAGAGCUCAAAUUUGGAAUCUUAAAGGGUUUCCCUUUACGAAUUGUAGUUUAAAGGAAGUGUUUUCUGUUGAGGUUUUGGUAAAAGUUCUUUGGAAUAGGACAUCAUAGAGGGUGAGAAUCCCGUAUUUGACCUUUACUUUCAACUUUGUGAUACACUUUCAAAGAGUCGGAUUGUUUGGGAAUGCAGUCCAAAAUGGGUGGUAAAUUUCAUCUAAAGCUAAAUAUUGGCGAGAGACCGAUAGCGAACAAGUACCGUGAGGGAAAGAUGAAAAGAACUUUGAAAAGAGAGUUAAACAGUACGUGAAAUUGUCAAAAGGGAAGCGUUUGACACCAGUGUUGUUUUUCUGAAAAUCAAUUAAAGAACUGUUUAUGCUAAGUUGUUUAGACUUUAUCAGCUAUCUGCUUAGUUUUGAGCUUUUCUUUAAUGCACUUUUCAGUUAACAAGUCAACAUCAAUUUCUUUUGCUGUAAAAAAGCUUGAGGAAGGUGGCUUGAGAUUCGUCUUAAGUGUUUAUAGCCUCUUGCCUAUGCAGUCGGAGAGAUUGAGGUCUGCAGCGUAGAUCCUUCGGGGCUAAAUGCAUUUGUGCUAAGUUAUAGCAUUUUAUAGACAACUUGUUGACUAUGAUUUGUCUUGUAGCUUACUCGCUUAUGUUAUUUUACCUACGCUUAGGAUGUUGAGUAGCGACAUACGCAC
Molecule: ribosomal RNA, 775 nt
Filed under: uncultured Neocallimastigales
Lineage: Eukaryota; Fungi; Neocallimastigomycota; Neocallimastigomycetes; Neocallimastigales
Description: partial large subunit ribosomal RNA
Rfam family: Eukaryotic large subunit ribosomal RNA
Source: RNAcentral